This 338-nucleotide unclassified non-coding RNA is filed under the name soil metagenome. Its description in RNAcentral is "partial contains 5.8S ribosomal RNA, internal transcribed spacer 2, and large subunit ribosomal RNA". The stretch from base 1 to 120 matches the Rfam family "5.8S ribosomal RNA", at positions 35 to 154 of the family's 154-position model. The record is from RNAcentral.
GAUGAAGAACGUAGCAAAAUGCGAUAAGUAAUGUGAAUUGCAGAAUUCAGUGAAUCAUCGAAUCUUUGAACGCACAUUGCGCCCGGUAGUAUUCUGCCGGGCAUGCCUGUUCGAGCGUCAUUUCAACCAUCAAGCCCCAGCGCUUGUGUUGGGGGCCUGCGGCUGCCGCAGCCCCCUAAAAGCAGUGGCGGGCUCGCUAUCACACCGAGUGCAGUAGUUCAUCUUCUCUCCGGUCUUGUGAGGCGGGUUCCGGCCGUGAAACACCCCACUACAUUCAAGGUUGACCUCGGAUCAGGUAGGAAUACCCGCUGAACUUAAGCAUAUCAAUAAGCGGAGGA